Grammomys surdaster is the source of this 79-nucleotide small nucleolar RNA. RefSeq annotates it as small nucleolar RNA SNORD115. NCBI's taxonomy places the organism in Eukaryota, Metazoa, Chordata, Mammalia, Rodentia, Muridae. The record is from RefSeq and is a predicted model, not a curated record. The transcript has a single exon.
AGGUCAAUGAUGACACCCCAGUGACAUGAAGAGAGGUGAUUAAUUAAAAAUCAUGCUCAAUAGGAUUACGCUGAGGCCC